UACAGAGGUGGCAAGCGUUGUUCGGAAUUACUGGGCGUAAAGGGCGCGUAGGCGGCCUUCUAAGUCAGACGUGAAAUCCCCAGGCUUAACUUGGGAACUGCGUCUGAUACUGGGAGGCUUGAAUGCGGGAGAGGGAUGUGGAAUUCCAGGUGUAGCGGUGAAAUGCGUAGAUAUCUGGAGGAACACCGGUGGCGAAGGCGGCAUCCUGGACCGGCAUUGACGCUGAGGCGCGAAAGCCAGGGGAGCAAACGGG
RNAcentral lists this ribosomal RNA (253 nucleotides) under uncultured bacterium. RNAcentral's name for it is "partial 16S ribosomal RNA". It matches the Rfam family "Bacterial small subunit ribosomal RNA", at positions 524 to 776 of the family's 1533-position model. The record is from RNAcentral.